RNAcentral lists this ribosomal RNA (253 nucleotides) under uncultured bacterium. RNAcentral describes it as "partial 16S ribosomal RNA". It matches the Rfam family "Bacterial small subunit ribosomal RNA", at positions 524 to 776 of the family's 1533-position model. The record is from RNAcentral.
UACGAAGGGGGCUAGCGUUGUUCGGAAUUACUGGGCGUAAAGGGCGCGUAGGCGGCCUGACAAGUCGGGUGUGAAAGGCCUGGGCUUAACCCGGGAAUUGCGCUCGAUACUGUUAGGCUAGAGUGUGGGAGAGGAUGGCGGAAUUCCCAGUGUAGAGGUGAAAUUCGUAGAUAUUGGGAAGAACACCAGUGGCGAAGGCGGCCAUCUGGACCACAACUGACGCUUAGGCGCGAAAGCGUGGGGAGCAAACAGG